ACGGGUGAGUAAUAUAUCGGAACGUGCCCAAUCGUGGGGGAUAACGUAGAGAAAUUUACGCUAAUACCGCAUACGAUCUAAGGAUGAAAGCGGGGGAUCGCAAGACCUCGCGCGAUUGGAGCGGCUGAUAUCAGAUUAGGUUGUUGGUGAGGUAAAAGCUCACCAAGCCGACGAUCUGUAGCUGGUUUGAGAGAACGACCAGCCACACUGGGACUGAGACACGGCCCAGACUCCUACGGGAGGCAGCAGUGGGGAAUUUUGGACAAUGGGCGAAAGCCUGAUCCAGCAAUGCCGCGUGCAGGAAGAAGGCCUUCGGGUUGUAAACUGCUUUUGUACGGAACGAAACGGCUCUUUCUAAUAAAGAGGGCUAAUGACGGUACCGUAAGAAUAAGCACCGGCUAACUACGUGCCAGCAGCCGCGGUAAUACGUAGGGUGCGAGCGUUAAUCGGAAUUACUGGGCGUAAAGCGUGCGCAGGCGGUUAUGUAAGACAGUUGUGAAAUCCCCGGGCUCAACCUGGGAAUUGCAUCUGUGACUGCAUAGCUAGAGUACGGUAGAGGGGGAUGGAAUUCCGCGUGUAGCAGUGAA
Molecule: ribosomal RNA, 587 nt
Filed under: Polaromonas sp. RDB-157
Lineage: Bacteria; Pseudomonadati; Pseudomonadota; Betaproteobacteria; Burkholderiales; Comamonadaceae
Also listed under: 8 other names
Description: bacterial SSU rRNA
Rfam family: Bacterial small subunit ribosomal RNA
Source: RNAcentral